CACGUAGUUAGCCGGUGCUUAUUCUUCAGGUACCGUCAUUAGCAAAGGAUAUUAGCCUCCACCGUUUCUUCCCUGACAAAAGAGCUUUACAACCCGAAGGCCUUCUUCACUCACGCGGCAUUGCUGGAUCAGGCUUGCGCCCAUUGUCCAAAAUUUCCCACUGCUGCCUCCCGUAGGAGUCUGGACCGUGUCUCAGUUCCAGUGUGGCUGGUCGUCCUCUCAGACCAGCUACUGAUCGUCGCCUUGGUGAGCCUUUACCUCACCAACUAGCUAAUCAGACGUCGGCCGCUCCAAAAGCAUGAGGUCUUGCGAUCCCCCAUUUCUUCCGUAGAACGUAUGCGGUAUUAGCGUAACUUUCGCUACGUUAUCCCCCAUUCUGGGUACGUUCCGAUGUAUUACUCACCCGUUCGCCACUCGCCACCAGGCCGAAGCCCCGUGCUGCCGUUCGACUUGCAUGUGUAAAGCAUGCCGCAGCGUUCAAUCUGAGCCAGGAUCAAACU
This 500-nucleotide ribosomal RNA is filed under the name uncultured Massilia sp. Its description in RNAcentral is "partial 16S ribosomal RNA". The record is from RNAcentral. Lineage: Bacteria; Pseudomonadati; Pseudomonadota; Betaproteobacteria; Burkholderiales; Oxalobacteraceae.